RNAcentral lists this ribosomal RNA (931 nucleotides) under uncultured Bacillota bacterium. Its description in RNAcentral is "bacterial SSU rRNA". It matches the Rfam family "Bacterial small subunit ribosomal RNA", at positions 1 to 916 of the family's 1533-position model. The record is from RNAcentral. Lineage: Bacteria; Bacillati; Bacillota.
GGAUCCAGACUUUGAUCCUGGCUCAUGACGAACGCUGGCGGCGUGCCUAACACAUGCAAGUCGAACGGAGUGUUGCGCUGAAAUUGAGAUUAGCUUGCUAAAGGAAAUUUCUUGUAACACUUAGUGGCGGACGGGUGAGUAACGCGUGAGGAACCUGCCUUACAGAGGGGGACAACAGUUGGAAACGACUGCUAAUACCGCAUGAUGUGGAGGGGAGACAUCUCCCUUUCACCAAAGGAGCAAUCCGCUGUAAGAUGGCCUCGCGUCUGAUUAGAUAGUUGGUGGGGUAACGGCCCACCAAGUCGACGAUCAGUAGCCGGACUGAGAGGUUGAACGGCCACAUUGGGACUGAGACACGGCCCAGACUCCUACGGGAGGCAGCAGUGGGGGAUAUUGCACAAUGGAGGAAACUCUGAUGCAGCAACGCCGCGUGAGGGAAGAAGGUUUUCGGAUUGUAAACCUCUGUUUUUAGUGAAGAAACAAAUGACGGUAGCUAAAGAGGAAGCCACGGCUAACUACGUGCCAGCAGCCGCGGUAAUACGUAGGUGGCAAGCGUUGUCCGGAAUUACUGGGUGUAAAGGGUGCGCAGGCGGGAUUGCAAGUUGGAUGUGAAAUACCGGGGCUUAACCCCGGAGCUGCAUCCAAAACUGUAGUUCUUGAGUGGAGUAGAGGUAAGCGGAAUUCCGAGUGUAGCGGUGAAAUGCGUAGAUAUUCGGAGGAACACCAGUGGCGAAGGCGGCUUACUGGGCUCUAACUGACGCUGAGGCACGAAAGCAUGGGUAGCAAACAGGAUUAGAUACCCUGGUAGUCCAUGCUGUAAACGAUGAAUGCUAGGUGUGGGGGGACUGACCCCUUCCGUGCCGGAGUAAACACAAUAAGCAUUCCACCUGGGGAGUACGACCGCAAGGUUGCAACUCAAAUGAAUUGACGG